UGGGGAAUUUUGGACAAUGGGCGAAAGCCUGAUCCAGCAAUGCCGCGUGUGUGAAGAAGGCCUUCGGGUUGUAAAGCACUUUUGUCCGGAAAGAAAUGGCUCUGGUUAAUACCUGGGGUCGAUGACGGUACCGGAAGAAUAAGGACCGGCUAACUACGUGCCAGCAGCCGCGGUAAUACGUAGGGUCCAAGCGUUAAUCGGAAUUACUGGGCGUAAAGCGUGCGCAGGCGGUUGUGCAAGACCGAUGUGAAAUCCCCGAGCUUAACUUGGGAAUUGCAUUGGUGACUGCACGGCUAGAGUGUGUCAGAGGGGGGUAGAAUUCCACGUGUAGCAGUGAAAUGCGUAGAGAUGUGGAGGAAUACCGAUGGCGAAGGCAGCCCCCUGGGAUAACACUGACGCUCAUGCACGAAAGCGUGGGGAGCAAACAGGAUUAGAUACCCUGGUAGUCCACGCCCUAAACGAUGUCAACUAGUUGUUGGGGGAUUCAUUUUCCUUAGUAACGUAGCUAACGCGUGAAGUUGGACCGCCUGGGGAGUACGGUCGCAAGAUUAAAAGCUCAAAAGGAA
RNAcentral lists this ribosomal RNA (566 nucleotides) under uncultured bacterium. Its description in RNAcentral is "partial 16S ribosomal RNA". It matches the Rfam family "Bacterial small subunit ribosomal RNA", at positions 355 to 910 of the family's 1533-position model. The record is from RNAcentral.